Oncorhynchus masou masou (cherry salmon) is the source of this 184-nucleotide long non-coding RNA. RefSeq lists it as uncharacterized. The record is from RefSeq and is a predicted model, not a curated record. The transcript has 3 exons. Lineage: Eukaryota; Metazoa; Chordata; Actinopteri; Salmoniformes; Salmonidae.
AAAAAAGCUUUCUUUGCUCUGGUGGCGAACGGUGUUCGGGCGGCGCCUCUGUGGGAUAACAAGCUGCAGUGUUUUGUAGGUAUGCUGACCAUCACAGACUUUAUCAACAUUCUCCACCGGUAUUGGCAGUCUCCUCUGGUAGAGAUCUACGAACUGGAGGAGCACAAGAUAGAAGACUGUAGAG